GGGUUGUGAGGUUAAGCGACUAAGCGUACACGGUGGAUGCCCUGGCAGUCAGAGGCGAUGAAGGACGUGCUAAUCUGCGAUAAGCGCCGGUAAGGUGAUAUGAACCGUUAUAACCGGCGAUUUCCGAAUGGGGAAACCCAGUGUGAUUCGUCACACUAUCAUUAACUGAAUCCAUAGGUUAAUGAGGCGAACCGGGGGAACUGAAACAUCUAAGUACCCCGAGGAAAA
RNAcentral lists this ribosomal RNA (228 nucleotides) under Salmonella enterica subsp. enterica serovar Derby. RNAcentral describes it as "partial 23S ribosomal RNA". It matches the Rfam family "Bacterial large subunit ribosomal RNA", at positions 1 to 220 of the family's 2925-position model. Lineage: Bacteria; Pseudomonadati; Pseudomonadota; Gammaproteobacteria; Enterobacterales; Enterobacteriaceae. RNAcentral also lists the same sequence under 2 other names. The record is from RNAcentral.